Molecule: long non-coding RNA, 264 nt
Filed under: Marmota monax (woodchuck)
Lineage: Eukaryota; Metazoa; Chordata; Mammalia; Rodentia; Sciuridae
Source: RNAcentral
AGCUGGGUCAAAUGGUGGUUCCAUUCCCAGCUUUCCAAGAAAUCUCCAUACUGCUUUCCAAAUUGGCUGCACCAAUUUGCAGUCCCACCAGCAAUGUACAAGUGUACCCUUUUCCCCACAUCCUCACCAGCACUUGUUGCUGUUUGACUUCAUAAUGGCUGCCAAUCUUACUGGAAUGAGAUGGUAUCUUAGGGUGGUUUUGAUUUGCAUUUCUCUGACAGCUAGAGAUGAUUAGCAUUUUUUCUUAUAUUUAUUGAUUGAUUG